This 86-nucleotide transfer RNA is filed under the name Candidatus Thalassarchaeaceae archaeon. Its description in RNAcentral is "tRNA-Leu". It matches the Rfam family "tRNA". From Rfam's summary of the family: Transfer RNA (tRNA) molecules are approximately 80 nucleotides in length. Their secondary structure includes four short double-helical elements and three loops (D, anti-codon, and T loops). Further hydrogen bonds mediate the characteristic L-shaped molecular structure. tRNAs have two regions of fundamental functional importance: the anti-codon, which is responsible for specific mRNA codon recognition, and the 3' end, to which the tRNAs corresponding amino acid is attached (by aminoacyl-tRNA synthetases). tRNAs cope with the degeneracy of the genetic code in two manners: having more than one tRNA (with a specific anti-codon) for a particular amino acid; and 'wobble' base-pairing, i.e. permitting non-standard base-pairing at the 3rd anti-codon position. The record is from RNAcentral. Lineage: Archaea; Methanobacteriati; Thermoplasmatota; Candidatus Poseidoniia; Candidatus Poseidoniales; Candidatus Thalassarchaeaceae.
GCAGGGGUACCCGAGCUGGCCAAAGGGGCCGGACUUAAGCUCCGGUGGUAAUACCUUCGUGGGUUCGAAUCCCACCCCCUGCACCA